UGCAACUCGACUCCAUGAAGCUGGAUUCGCUAGUAAUCGCGCAUCAGCCAUGGCGCGGUGAAUACGUUCCCGGGCCUUGUACACACCGCCCGUCAAGCCAUGGGAGCCGGGGGUGCCUGAAGUACGUGACCGCGAGGAGCGUCCUAGGGCAAAACUGGUGACUGGGGCUAAGUCGUAACAAGGUAUC
This 187-nucleotide ribosomal RNA is filed under the name uncultured bacterium. RNAcentral's name for it is "partial 16S ribosomal RNA". It matches the Rfam family "Bacterial small subunit ribosomal RNA", at positions 1306 to 1500 of the family's 1533-position model. The record is from RNAcentral.